This 1214-nucleotide ribosomal RNA is filed under the name 'Cucurbita moschata' phytoplasma. RNAcentral's name for it is "bacterial SSU rRNA". Lineage: Bacteria; Bacillati; Mycoplasmatota; Mollicutes; Acholeplasmatales; Acholeplasmataceae. The record is from RNAcentral.
CUGCUAAGACUGGAUAGGAGACAAGAAGGCAUCUUCUUGUUUUUAAAAGACCUAGCAAUAGGUAUGCUUAGGGAGGAGCUUGCGUCACAUUAGUUAGUUGGUGGGGUAAAGGCCUACCAAGACUAUGAUGUGUAGCCGGGCUGAGAGGUUGAACGGCCACAUUGGGACUGAGACACGGCCCAAACUCCUACGGGAGGCAGCAGUAGGGAAUUUUCGGCAAUGGAGGAAACUCUGACCGAGCAACGCCGCGUGAACGAUGAAGUAUUUCGGUACGUAAAGUUCUUUUAUUAGGGAAGAAUAAAUGAUGGAAAAAUCAUUCUGACGGUACCUAAUGAAUAAGCCCCGGCUAACUAUGUGCCAGCAGCCGCGGUAAUACAUAGGGGGCAAGCGUUAUCCGGAAUUAUUGGGCGUAAAGGGUGCGUAGGCGGUUAAAUAAGUUUAUGGUCUAAGUGCAAUGCUCAACAUUGUGAUGCUAUAAAAACUGUUUAGCUAGAGUAAGAUAGAGGCAAGUGGAAUUCCAUGUGUAGUGGUAAAAUGCGUAAAUAUAUGGAGGAACACCAGUAGCGAAGGCGGCUUGCUGGGUCUUUACUGACGCUGAGKCACGAAAGCGUGGGGAGCAAACAGGAUUAGAUACCCUGGUAGUCCACGCCGUAAACGAUGAGUACUAAACGUUGGGUAAAACCAGUGUUGAAGUUAACACAUUAAGUACUCCGCCUGAGUAGUACGUACGCAAGUAUGAAACUUAAAGGAAUUGACGGGACUCCGCACAAGCGGUGGAUCAUGUUGUUUAAUUCGAAGGUACCCGAAAAACCUCACCAGGUCUUGACAUGCUUCUGCAAAGCUGUAGAAACACAGUGGAGGUUAUCAGUUGCACAGGUGGUGCAUGGUUGUCGUCAGCUCGUGUCGUGAGAUGUUGGGUUAAGUCCCGCAACGAGCGCAACCCUUAUUGUUAGUUACCAGCACGUAAUGGUGGGGACUUUAGCAAGACUGCCAGUGAUAAAUUGGAGGAAGGUGGGGACGACGUCAAAUCAUCAUGCCCCUUAUGACCUGGGCUACAAACGUGAUACAAUGGCUGUUACAAAGGGUAGCUGAAGCGCAAGUUUUUGGCGAAUCUCAAAAAAACAGUCUCAGUUCGGAUUGAAGUCUGCAACUCGACUUCAUGAAGUUGGAAUCGCUAGUAAUCGCGAAUCAGCAUGUCGCGGUGAAUACGUUCU